Molecule: non-coding RNA, 660 nt
Organism: Vicia faba (fava bean)
Lineage: Eukaryota; Viridiplantae; Streptophyta; Magnoliopsida; Fabales; Fabaceae
Source: the annotation of a GenBank genome assembly
CAAAGUAAAUCCAAGAGUUUUUUUUGUUUUCCAGGCAAUGGGAUAACAAAGUGUACAAACUGGGCUCGGUGGAGAUGCGUGAUACAAGAUGAGGCCCAGUCUCAGCAUGGCCUUAGUCCAAUUCAUUUUCCAAAUUUCAGCAUUAUUUUUUAUUUUUUAUUUCAAAUUUAUUUAGUAAAAAAAACAAUUAGUAGAAGAGGGCUAUGGUUAAGUUGUCGAAUUAACUUCACCCCUUCCUCAGAUUCGCAGCGCCGCGGCUGCCUAUUCAUCAAUAGUGGUUCAUCCAUAAUCCCUUCUUCUCUGAUCCGUUCAACUCAACAGCUCCAUGAGACCACCACCUGGCUUCAUCAUCUCGGCCUCACGCUUCCGAAUCAACCUCUCUCAUCUGCGCGCGAUUCGCUCGGUUUUCCUUCCGAUUCCGCAGCAUUGUGGCUUCGAUCGCUCAAACAACGCCAUCGCUUCAAACUCAGAAACUCCAUCUCAGAUUUUUUGUUUCUGUUUGCUCAUCUACGAUCAUCUUCGCAUAUUAACCUCGCGUGCUUCAUUCUCCUCAAGAUCACCGAAUCAAGUUCGUUUCAACACUAUCAACCUAAGCCUAAUCUUAGUAAAGCUAAUACUCAGACAACGAUUCAAUCCAAGAACGUGCAACGAUAUAGAUAA